AGGACGAACGCUGGCGGCGUGCUUAACACAUGCAAGUCGAGCGGAAAGGCCCUUCGGGGUACUCGAGCGGCGAACGGGCGAGUAACACGUGAGCAACCUGCCCUUAGCUCUGGGAUAGCUCCGGGAAACCGGAAUUAAUACCGGAUAUGACCUAGGCCGACAUCGGCCGUGGUGGAAAGUUUUUCGGCUAGGGAUGGACUCGCGGCCUAUCAGCUAGUUGGUGGGGUAAUGGCCUACCAAGGCGACGACGGGUAGCCGGCCUGAGAGGGCGACCGGCCACACUGGGACUGAGACACGGCCCAGACUCCUACGGGAGGCAGCAGUGGGAAUCUUGCGCAAUGGGCGAAAGCCUGACGCAGCGACGCCGCGUGGGGGAUGAAGGCCUUCGGGUUGUAAACCCCUUCAGCAGGGACGAAGCGAAAGUGACGGUACCUGCAGAAGAAGCGCCGGCUAACUACGCGCCAGCAGCCGC
RNAcentral lists this ribosomal RNA (472 nucleotides) under uncultured bacterium. Its description in RNAcentral is "SSU rRNA". It matches the Rfam family "Bacterial small subunit ribosomal RNA", at positions 26 to 518 of the family's 1533-position model. The record is from RNAcentral.